UGUUGUAAUGGUGAAUCGGGAUUUUUAAUGAAGUGGGUUUGAAUACUCUUGACUGUUUUGUGAAAUCGAAGUUACAUCUGUGAUUGAAGAAUUAAAAGGGUGUCUAUAGGAUUGAGUAUGCGGAGUGAAUGAAAUUUAUUGGGUUAAUGUAACGAGACAGUCAGUGGAUAUAAGAUCUUGAGUAUAAAGCGGUGUCGUGUUGUGGUUCGGCUACUAUAUGAAAAUAAUGUAAUUAUGUA
RNAcentral lists this long non-coding RNA (239 nucleotides) under Physcomitrium patens. Its description in RNAcentral is "long non-coding RNA (PPAT_LNC001973)". The record is from RNAcentral. Lineage: Eukaryota; Viridiplantae; Streptophyta; Bryopsida; Funariales; Funariaceae.